AGCAGCCGCGGUAAUUCCAGCUCCAAUAGCGUAUAUUAAAGUUGUUGCAGUUAAAAAGCUCGUAGUUGAAUUUCGGGAUUGACACAUCGGUCGUGCCUUAAGGGGUAUGAACUGGUGUAGUCAAUUUCUCACCUCCUGGAGAACCGCGAUGCCCUUAAUUGGGUGUCGCGGGGAACCAGGACCUUUACUUUGAAAAAAUUAGAGUGUUUAAAGCAGGCAUUUUGCUUGAAUACAUUAGCAUGGAAUAAUAAAAUAGGACGGCAUGAUUCUAUUUUGUUGGUUUCUAGGAUCACCGUAAUGAUUAAUAGGGAUAGUUGGGGGCAUUAGUAUUCAAUUGUCAGAGGUGAAAUUCUUGGAUUUAUUGAAGACUAACUACUGCGAAAGCAUUUGCCAGGGAUGUUUUCAUUAAUCAAGAACGAAAGUUAGGGGAUCGAAGACGAUCAGAUACCGUCGUAGUCUUAACCAUAAACUAUGCCGACUAGGAAUCAGACGAUGUUAAUUUUUUAAUGACUCGUUUGGU
Molecule: ribosomal RNA, 520 nt
Filed under: uncultured Entrophospora
Lineage: Eukaryota; Fungi; Glomeromycota; Glomeromycetes; Entrophosporales; Entrophosporaceae
Description: SSU rRNA
Rfam family: Eukaryotic small subunit ribosomal RNA
Source: RNAcentral